RNAcentral lists this ribosomal RNA (370 nucleotides) under uncultured organism. Its description in RNAcentral is "bacterial SSU rRNA". It matches the Rfam family "Bacterial small subunit ribosomal RNA", at positions 526 to 896 of the family's 1533-position model. The record is from RNAcentral.
CGAAGGGGGCUGGCGUUGCUCGGAAUUACUGGGCGUAAAGGGCGCGUAGGCGGAUAUUUAAGUCGGGGGUGAAAGCCCAGGGCUCAACCCUGGAACAGCCUUCGAUACUGGAUAUCUUGAGUACGGGAGAGGUGUGUGGAACUCCGAGUGUAGAGGUGAAAUUCGUAGAUAUUCGGAAGAACACCAGUGGCGAAGGCGACACACUGGCCCGUUACUGACGCUGAGGCGCGAAAGCGUGGGGAGCAAACAGGAUUAGAUACCCUGGUAGUCCACGCUGUAAACGAUGAGUGCUAGUUGUCGGCAUGCAUGCAUGUCGGUGACGCAGCUAACGCAUUAAGCACUCCGCCUGGGGAGUACGGUCGCAAGAUUA